UCACACUCAUCUACGAGCUUAGAACCAAGGCUGAUGAAUGGGAUGUAAACAAAUGGGUUUGAGAAGGAAUACCGAAAGUCAUAAGCAAAGGAGAAGACUGCAUUAUCAGACUAGAAGAGAAGAACACUGGUGAACUAUAUGCUCGGGCAUUUUUAAGAAAAGGAGAGCCGCAUCCGGUGGAACCUGUAAUUGAUAGCAGCAGAUACUUUGUUCUUCGUGUGGAGGAAAACAUAGGAUGAGCUCAAGUGCAGCUGAGACAGAACCAAGUAUUGAGUCAGCUCAGCCGGAAAAUCUAAAUACACCACUUUGGAAGUAUGUUACUAAGGAGGCAAUGGAAGGGGUAGUCAACGGAGGCAAUGUUUCUGUUACAUGUAAAAUAUGCAAAAGGAAUUUCCAUGGGUCACAUUCAAGAGUGAAGGCUCAUUUUCUUAAACUCAAAGGUUAUGGUGUCAUUGCUUGCCCCAAAGUCACAUCAAAACAGCAGUCGGAAAUGUUAGAACUUCUAGAGUCUUGUCAACAACAGUUGAGUAACAGAGCACCUAGAAAAGUUCCUUUGCCUUCAUCUUCAAGUUUGACAGGAAGUGGUUCGAGUUAUUUUCCCUUAGAGGAGAGGGAUAGUGUGAAGAAGAAGAGAAGGGGAGUGAGUCCGCAACUAACCAAAGCUUUCAAGAUUGAAGAAAGACAACAAUGUGAUGCUGAAGUUGCUAGAAUGUUCUAUACUAGUGGACUGCCAUUCAAUCUAGCAAAGAAUCCUCACUACCAAAACUCUUAUAGUCGUGCUUCACAGAUUCCAGGCUAUGUUCCUCCAGGGUACAACUAAUUGAGAACCACACUUCUUGAUAAUGAAAUAUGUCAUAUUGAACGGAUGCUACAACCUAUUAAGAAGACUUGGAGAGAAACCGGUGUCAGUUUAUGUUCGGAUGGAUGGACUGAUGAUCAAAUGAGGCCAUUGAUUAAUAUGAUGGCUGCAUGUUCCAAUGGGGCUAUUAUGUUGAAGGCAAUCAAUUGUGAAGGGCAAUACAAAGACAAGUUUGAAGUUAGUAGAUUGCUCUUGGAAUCCGUCAAUGAAAUUGGUUCCGAUAAUGUGGUUCAAGUAGUGACCGAUAAUGCACCUGUGUGCUCUGCUGCUGGUGCAAUUGUUGAGAGUACUCACCCUCACAUGUUUUAAACACUAUGUGUGGUUCAUACCCUUAACCUUGUUUUAGAUGAUACUUUGAAAGCAAAUUCUCAUUUACCGGGUGAGCAAGUAGAUAAAGAGUUGGGGUGGCUUAUGAAAGUUGUGAAUAAUGUUUAUACCAUCAAGAACUUUAUCUUGAAUCACAACAUGCGGUUGUCUAUGUAUAAUGACCAUUGUACCUUGAAGUUGCUUAGUGUUGCCGAGACAAGAUUUGCUUCUCAUUAUGUGUGUCUUAAAAGGUUUAAGGAAGUGAAGAAUGGCAUGCAACAAAUGGUCAUAAGUCCAAGAUGGGACAUGUAUAAAGAAGAUGAUGUUAGUAAAGCAAGAGAUGUGAAGGCUCUGCUAUUGAAUGAUUAUUUUUGGGAGAAGAUUGAUUGUAUGAUUGGAUUCAUGGGUUCUAUAUAUGAGAUGAUAAGGAUGGGGGAUAUGGAUAGGUCUUGUCUUCACUUAGUUUAUGAGUGGUGGGAUACAAUGAUAGAGGAAGUAAAGAUGGCUAUCUACAAGCCCGAAUUUGCA
Molecule: long non-coding RNA, 1693 nt
Organism: Argentina anserina (silverweed cinquefoil)
Lineage: Eukaryota; Viridiplantae; Streptophyta; Magnoliopsida; Rosales; Rosaceae
Exons: 4
Source: RefSeq, a predicted model, not a curated record